UAUCAAGCUACUAAGGGCUUACGGUGGAUGCCUUGGCGCCAGGUAGCGAUGAAGGGCGUGACAAACUGCGAAAAGCUUCGGGUAGUUGUUUAGUGAACAUUGAUCCGGAGAUCCCCGAAUCGGGCAACCGGGCAGGUAUGACCUGUCAUCCCGGCGUAUGUCGGGAGGCUAACCAGGAGAAGUGAAACAUCUCAGUAACCUGAGGAACAGAAAGAAAACUCGAUUCCCCCAGUAGUGGCGAGCGAAAAGGGAAUAGCCCAAACUGGGUAUAUGUUAAAGUCCAUAUACGUUGUAUACCUAGGGUUGUGGGGUAAUGUUGGGCUUGAAUAUGGUCAAGCCGGGAAGUUAUAAACCAAGUGCUUAGCUUAAUGUGUCUGGAAUAGACCAACCAAAGAGGGUAAUAGUCCCGUGAGCGAAAAGGGCUUGGCUUCCUGAACGUUAUUCCCAAGUACUAUGGGAUAGCCUAAACCUGUAGGAAUCUAGGAGGACCACCUCCUAAGGCUAAAUAUGACUUGGCGACCGAUAGUGAAGAAGUACUGUGAAGGAAAGGUGAAAAGUUCCCCCGCUAGGGAAGUGAAAUAGUCCCUGAAACCGUACAGCCUACAAGCUGUGGAAGUGCUAAGUCUCGAUUCGUCGAGACAUGCAUGACUGCGUGCCUUUUGCAUAAUGAGCCGGUGACUUACUCUGUGUAGCAAGGUUAAGCUUUUCUGAAGCGUAGCCGUAGCGAAAGCGAGUCUGAAUAGGGCGAAAGAGUUGCAUGGAGUAGACCCGAAACUGGGUGAUCUAUCCAUGGGCAAGGUGAAGCAUACGUAAAAGUAUGUGGAGGCCUGAACCCACCAAGGCUGAAAACUUGGGGGAUGACCUGUGGAUCGGAGUGAAAGGCUAAUCAAACCCAGUGAUAGCUGGUUCUCCCCGAAAUAGCUUUAGGGCUAGCCUCAUGUGUUUGGCAGUGGUGGUAGAGCUCUGAUUGGACUAGCGGCCCCACCAGGUUAGCAACUCCAGUUAAACUGCAAAUGCCAUUGUCUCAAGCAUGGGAGUCAGUCAGUAGGGGAUAAGCUCUACUGACAAAAGGGAUAAGAGCCCAGAUCGCCAGCUAAGGUCCCCAAAUACAGGCUAAGUGGUAAAGGAUGUGUCGUUGCCCAGACAGCCAGGAUGUUGGCUUAGAAGCAGCCAUUCAUUUAAAGAGUGCGUAAUAGCUCACUGGUCAAGUGGCUUUGCACCGAAAAUUCUCGGGGCUCAAGCCUGUUACCGAAGCUGCGGAUUUUGACCCACGUGCCGGUUCGCCGACAGCGGGGUUGAAGUGGUAGGGGAGCGUUCUAUAGUAGGAUGAAGGUGGAUUGAAAGAUACGCUGGACAAAUUAGAAGUGAUUAUGCCGGCAUGAGUAGCGAUAAAACAAGUUAGAAGCUUGUUCGCCGAAAGCCUAAGGGUUCCUGGAGGGUUAGUCGGAUCCUAAGCUGAGGCCGAAAGGCGUAAGCGAUGGGUAGCAGGCAUAAUAUUCCUGCACCACCAUUACAAGGACGAAGCUAGGGGAGACGCAGGCAUUAGGACCUACCAGCGGAUGGAUGUGCUGGGCUAAGCCCGACAGAGGUGACUUCAGGUAAAUCCGAAGUCUCACGACUCUGAGAGGUGAUAGGGAUUCCGUAAGGAUACAAACUGGUCUAGUUGUCUGCCAAGAAAAGAACCUCGAGUGGACGCGUAAUGGUGUCCGUACCGCAAACCGACACAGGUAGGCGAGGAGAGAAUCCUAAGGCGCUCGAGAGAACUCUCGCUAAGGAACUCGGCAACUUUUAGUAGGAGCAGCAUCUUGCAUGCGAAUCCGAAAAAAGCCGCAGUGAAGUGGUCCGUGCGACUGUUUACUAAAAACACAGGUCUCUGCAAAAUCGUAAGAUGAUGUAUAGGGACUGACGCCUGCCCGGUGCCAUAUGGUUAAGGGAAAGAGUCAAGGGUUCGCCCGGCAGCUCUGAACCGAAGCUUCAGGUAAACGGCGGCGGUAACUAUAACCGUCCUAAGGUAGCGAAAUUCCUCGUCGGGUAAAAUCCGACCUGCACGAAUGGCGUAACGACAUGGACACUGUCUCGGCGAGAGACUCGGCGAAAUUGUAAUACCGGUGAAGAUGCCGGUUACCCGUAACAGGACGGAAAGACCCCGUGAACCUUUACUACAGCCUGAUAUUGGGUUUUAAUGUAGCUUAUGUAGGAUAGGUGGGAGACUGUGAAACUGGGGCGCCAGCUUCAGUAGAGUCGAUCUUGAAAUACCACUUUUGCUGCAUUGAGAUUCUAACUCUGGUUCGUAAUCCGGAUCGAAGACAGUGUCAGGUGGGUAGUUUGACUGGGGCGGUCGCCUCCCAAAAUGUAACGGAGGCGCCCUAAGGUUCCCUCAGCGCGAUUGGAAACCGUGCGUAGAGUGUAAAGGCAGAAGGGAGCUUGACUGCGAGACAGACAUGUCGAGCAGGUGCGAAAGCAGGGCUUAGUGAUCUUGCGGUUCUGUGUGGAAAGGCCGUGACUCAACGGAUAAAAGGUACUCCGGGGAUAACAGGCUGGUCGCGCCCAAGCGUUCAUAGCGACGGCGCGGUUCGGCACCUCGAUGUCGGCUCAUCACAUCCUGGGGCUGCAGCAGGUCCCAAGGGUUGGGCUGUUCGCCCAUUAAAGUGGUACGUGAGCUGGGUUUAGAACGUCGCAAGACAGUUCGGUCCCUAUCCGUUACGGGCGUAGGAUAUUUGAGAGGACCUGCCGCUAGUAUGAGAAGACCGUGGUGGACGAACCUCUAGUGUACCAGUUGUCGCGCCAGCGGCACCGCUGGGUAGCUAUGUUCGGAAGAGAUAAACGCUGAAAGCAUCUAAGCGUGAAGCUCGCCUCAAGAUAAGAUAUGCUGCAGAGUUAAUCUGGUAAGGCUCCUUUGAGACUAAAAGGUUGAUAGGCCAGAGGUGUAAGCGGUGCGAACCGUUUAGCUGACUGGUACUAAUAAGCCGAGGGCUUGAUAAC
This 2982-nucleotide ribosomal RNA is filed under the name Candidatus Poribacteria bacterium. RNAcentral describes it as "23S ribosomal RNA". It matches the Rfam family "Bacterial large subunit ribosomal RNA". Lineage: Bacteria; Candidatus Poribacteria. The record is from RNAcentral.